This 327-nucleotide ribosomal RNA is filed under the name Triticum aestivum (bread wheat). RNAcentral's name for it is "partial small subunit ribosomal RNA". The record is from RNAcentral. Lineage: Eukaryota; Viridiplantae; Streptophyta; Magnoliopsida; Poales; Poaceae.
AUGAAAGUUAUAGCUUGGAACUGCCGUGGGCUUGGGAACCCAUCGGCAGUUUGAAGCUUGCUCGAGCUUCAACGGGCAGAAGAUCCCGACAUCCUCUUUCUCUCUGAAACAAAGAUGAGGGAGAAGGAGAUUGAGUUCUUAAGGUGGAGAGGGAGUCUAGUUCACAUGGUGGUACAAGAUUGCGAUGGGAUAUGUGGUGGGCUGGCGCUGUUUUGGCGAAGGGGUGUGGAGGUGAAUCUCAGGUCAAAGGGCUGAUACCACAUAGAUGCGGAGGUUGUGGCAGAGAACGAUGUGAAGUGGAGGCUGACGGGGAUCUACGGAGAAUAA